GGGCUGGACCGGGCGAGGGCCGCGACGGAGCACGCAGGGCAGUGUACUCUGGAGAGAAGGCGUGGCCACCGAAGCAAGCAGACCUCUUCAGACGCCAACACAUGCAGUGUCUGGUUGUCAUUUCAGGGUACGAGCACCACCCUCCUCCUCCCCUGCUUCUCCGGUCUUCGUCCCUCUCGGCUCCUGGGUCCUCUUCCAGCAGGCCUCUCCCAGCGGCCUUCAGCGUUGGUCUUUGGGCUCCUCACGCCACCAUCGGUGUUUAGACUCCAUCGGGGGGUUCAUACUUCGGCCCUACCCCUUUUUAAAAGUUUCUCAGAAUUUUUAAAUUAUGGUGGAGUCUAAUCUCCAAAGACUGUACUGUACAUUUCACGCACCUAUACAAUAAAUCAUUACAUAUCUGCAA
This is a long non-coding RNA of Perca fluviatilis (European perch), 403 nucleotides long. RefSeq lists it as uncharacterized. Lineage: Eukaryota; Metazoa; Chordata; Actinopteri; Perciformes; Percidae. The transcript is spliced from 2 exons. The record is from RefSeq and is a predicted model, not a curated record.